CUACGGCCACAUCACGUUUAAAUACCGGUUCCCGUACGAUCACCGAAGUUAAGCAAUAUCGAGCCUGGUUAGUACCUAGAAAGGGGACCGUUUGUGAAUACCAGGUGCUGUAA
Non-coding RNA from Acanthosepion pharaonis, 113 nucleotides. Lineage: Eukaryota; Metazoa; Mollusca; Cephalopoda; Sepiida; Sepiidae. The record is from the annotation of a GenBank genome assembly.